This 1371-nucleotide ribosomal RNA is filed under the name Salmonella enterica subsp. enterica serovar Reading. Its description in RNAcentral is "partial 23S ribosomal RNA". It matches the Rfam family "Bacterial large subunit ribosomal RNA", at positions 1 to 1301 of the family's 2925-position model. The record is from RNAcentral. Lineage: Bacteria; Pseudomonadati; Pseudomonadota; Gammaproteobacteria; Enterobacterales; Enterobacteriaceae.
GGGUUGUGAGGUUAAGCGACUAAGCGUACACGGUGGAUGCCCUGGCAGUCAGAGGCGAUGAAGGACGUGCUAAUCUGCGAUAAGCGCCGGUAAGGUGAUAUGAACCGUUAUAACCGGCGAUUUCCGAAUGGGGAAACCCAGUGUGACUCGUCACACUAUCAUUAACUGAAUCCAUAGGUUAAUGAGGCGAACCGGGGGAACUGAAACAUCUAAGUACCCCGAGGAAAAGAAAUCAACCGAGAUUCCCCCAGUAGCGGCGAGCGAACGGGGAGGAGCCCAGAGCCUGAAUCAGCAUGUGUGUUAGUGGAAGCGUCUGGAAAGGCGCGCGAUACAGGGUGACAGCCCCGUACACAAAAGCGCAUAUGCUGUGAGCUCGAUGAGUAGGGCGGGACACGUGGUAUCCUGUCUGAAUAUGGGGGGACCAUCCUCCAAGGCUAAAUACUCCUGACUGACCGAUAGUGAACCAGUACCGUGAGGGAAAGGCGAAAAGAACCCCGGCGAGGGGAGUGAAAAAGAACCUGAAACCGUGUACGUACAAGCAGUGGGAGCCCCACCACUAAGCCAGUGGUGAACUCCACAUACGCAUCCUUUGCUGAGGAUACGGUUAACGGAGCGAAAGCGACGUUCAACCGCAAAAGAAGCAGAGGGGGCUUAGUGGUGGGGUGACUGCGUACCUUUUGUAUAAUGGGUCAGCGACUUAUAUUCUGUAGCAAGGUUAACCGUAUAGGGGAGCCGGAGGGAAACCGAGUCUUAACCGGGCGUUAAGUUGCAGGGUAUAGACCCGAAACCCGGUGAUCUAGCCAUGGGCAGGUUGAAGGUUGGGUAACACUAACUGGAGGACCGAACCGACUAAUGUUGAAAAAUUAGCGGAUGACCUGUGGCUGGGGGUGAAAGGCCAAUCAAACCGGGAGAUAGCUGGUUCUCCCCGAAAGCUAUUUAGGUAGCGCCUCGUGAAUUCAUCUCCGGGGGUAGAGCACUGUUUCGGCUAGGGGGCCAUCCCGGCUUACCAACCCGAUGCAAACUGCGAAUACCGGAGAAUGUUAUCACGGGAGACACACGGCGGGUGCUAACGUCCGUCGUGAAGAGGGAAACAACCCAGACCGCCAGCUAAGGUCCCAAAGUCAUGGUUAAGUGGGAAACGAUGUGGGAAGGCCCAGACAGCCAGGAUGUUGGCUUAGAAGCAGCCAUCAUUUAAAGAAAGCGUAAUAGCUCACUGGUCGAGUCGGCCUGCGCGGAAGAUGUAACGGGGCUAAACCAUGCACCGAAGCUGCGGCAGCGACACUCAGGUGUUGUUGGGUAGGGGAGCGUUCUGUAAGCCUGUGAAGGUGGCCUGUGAGGGUUGCUGGAGGUAUCAGAAGUGCGAAUGCUGAC